CUACGGGUGGCAGCAGUGGGGAAUAUUGCACAAUGGGGGGAACCCUGAUGCAGCAACGCCGCGUGGAGGAUGACACAUUUCGGUGCGUAAACUCCUUUUAUAUAAGAAGAUAAUGACGGUAUUAUAUGAAUAAGCACCGGCUAACUCCGUGCCAGCAGGCCGCGGUAAUACGGGGGGUGCAAGCGUUACUCGGAAUCACUGGGCGUAAAGAGCAUGUAGGCUGGUUUGUAAGUUGGAAGUGAAAUCCUAUGGCUUAACCAUAGAACUGCUUCCAAAACUACUUACCUAGAGUAUGGGAGAGGUAGAUGGAAUUUCUGGUGUAGGGGUAAAAUCCGUAGAGAUCAGAAGGAAUACCGAUUGCGAAGGCGAUCUACUGGAACAUUACUGACGCUCAGAUGCGAAAGCGUGGGGAGCAAACAGGAUUAGAUACCCUUGUAGUC
This 440-nucleotide ribosomal RNA is filed under the name uncultured bacterium. RNAcentral's name for it is "partial 16S ribosomal RNA". It matches the Rfam family "Bacterial small subunit ribosomal RNA", at positions 339 to 795 of the family's 1533-position model. The record is from RNAcentral.